Molecule: long non-coding RNA, 253 nt
Organism: Sapajus apella (tufted capuchin)
Lineage: Eukaryota; Metazoa; Chordata; Mammalia; Primates; Cebidae
Exons: 2
Source: RefSeq, a predicted model, not a curated record
UUUACUCAGCUGAUUAUUUCUUCUUCUGUGCAGAAGCUUUCUCCACUCUAUGUUUUUGUUUGCUUUGCCAAAGAGCAGUUGGCUGAAAUGGACAUUUUCUCAGAGCUCUGGAGAAAAUAGCAUUGCAGCGUUUCAUCUGGGAUUGAUGGUCAGGAACAUCACAGAAGAAAAGGUUGAUGUGACUGCAUCAGCCCUUGCCCAGUUCCCACAAAAGUUUAAAGUGCCAUAAUGGUGGAAAACUAAAAGAAUAUUA